This 944-nucleotide long non-coding RNA is filed under the name Mus spicilegus (steppe mouse). RNAcentral's name for it is "lncRNA (ENSMSIG00000007911.1)". Lineage: Eukaryota; Metazoa; Chordata; Mammalia; Rodentia; Muridae. The record is from RNAcentral.
CUCCAGCUGUUUCUCAGGCUGAGUUCUGUCCCUGUCCCCACACAGAACACAGGACAGAGGGAGGCUCUUAGGAUGUUGUGCUCCGCGGGGCUCAGACGAAAUCUUCUGUGAAUGGAAGAAAUGCUUCCAAGCAAACAGCCACUACCAGAACAACUGUGUGACCAGGAGAAAGAGGCCAGAGCACGAGUUCUCAAACCCUGAAGUCGCAGGAGCCCGAGGGGGAUAUUGGAGAGAAGAAUGCACUGCUACUACAUGGCUUCCUAUCCCUGCGCGAACGUCUACACGCAAACAUUAGCUCCUCAGAGCGGCUUCCCAGAGGCAGCGUCGUCGGACCCUGCUGCGUUCCUGUGCCUGCUGCUCCUACUUAAAAGCACAGCUUUGUCUGCGGUGCUUCUUGAGAGGGCCGCUCACCCUCCCUGGACCUCAGUUUCCAGCCCAGGACAACCUCUCAGUUCCCAAAGGCCCUCUGAGAGAACUGCAGAAGUGGCUGAGCCAUCACCCAGCUGAACUGUCAGGUGGAGGGUUUUGAGAAGAGGACAGGAGCCAGAUCAAACAAGCAGGCCAUUUGGAGGUGGGAAAGGUUUUAAGUUUCCUCCUGGGCUCCUACCAUCACGGCCACGCCCACUGCCCUGAUAAGACCCUUGUGAUUAUUGUUCUGAGGCUGCUGGACAGGCAUCUACUGGGAUGAGGAGAGAGAGAGAGAGAGAGAGAAAAGCAGCUGCUGGGAGGACCAGGUGCUCGCAAAGGUGAGAGAUGAUAUAGGUGAAGGGCCAUGGCUGGGACAGGGAGGGGGAUUGCAAAGAAAGAGACAAAAAGAGGCAGAGAGAGGGAGUGAGGUCCAGAAGCCAGCGGGAGGAACAGGCAGGGAAUAGGGCCCCAUGCGGCCCAGGGGCCCAGAAGGCACAGAAGCAGAGCUGAAGACAGACAGACAUAUGCUGCUCAGA